RNAcentral lists this small nuclear RNA (192 nucleotides) under Laccaria bicolor S238N-H82. RNAcentral describes it as "U2 spliceosomal RNA". It matches the Rfam family "U2 spliceosomal RNA". Rfam says of the family: U2 is a small nuclear RNA (snRNA) component of the spliceosome (involved in pre-mRNA splicing). Complementary binding between U2 snRNA (in an area lying towards the 5' end but 3' to hairpin I) and the branchpoint sequence (BPS) of the intron results the bulging out of an unpaired adenosine, on the BPS, which initiates a nucleophilic attack at the intronic 5' splice site, thus starting the first of two transesterification reactions that mediate splicing. The record is from Rfam by way of RNAcentral. Lineage: Eukaryota; Fungi; Basidiomycota; Agaricomycetes; Agaricales; Hydnangiaceae.
UCACCACUCUGGCCUUUUGGCUUAGAUCAAGUGUAGUAUCUGUUCUUAAUAGUUUAACCACUAUUAUGGAGGCACCGCCUCCAUUCUUGGUUAUCUAAUUUUUGCCGCCCCAGUUUUCAUCGGGCUCUGCUUGCACCCCUUUGGACACGAUGACCUUGCUUCUGUACUAUCAGCUUGCGUCGUCGGGGGAUC